ACUGGCCUACAAAGUCCCAGUU
RNAcentral lists this microRNA (22 nucleotides) under Taeniopygia guttata (zebra finch). RNAcentral describes it as "tgu-miR-193b-3p". Its record names the gene tgu-miR-193b-3p. The record is from miRBase by way of RNAcentral. Lineage: Eukaryota; Metazoa; Chordata; Aves; Passeriformes; Estrildidae.